RNAcentral lists this ribosomal RNA (494 nucleotides) under uncultured Flavobacteriaceae bacterium. RNAcentral describes it as "partial 16S ribosomal RNA". The record is from RNAcentral. Lineage: Bacteria; Pseudomonadati; Bacteroidota; Flavobacteriia; Flavobacteriales; Flavobacteriaceae.
CACGGAGUUAGCCGGUGCUUAUUCAUACAGUACCUUCAACACCCUACACGUAAAGUGGUUUAUUCCUGUAUAAAAGCAGUUUACAACCCAUAGGGCCGUCUUCCUGCACGCGGGAUGGCUGGAUCAGGCUCUCACCCAUUGUCCAAUAUUCCUCACUGCUGCCUCCCGUAGGAGUCUGGUCCGUGUCUCAGUACCAGUGUGGGGGUUCACCCUCUCAGGCCCCCUAAUGAUCAUCGUCUUGGUGAGCCGUUACCUCACCAACUAACUAAUCAUACGCAUGUCUAUCCUAUUGCGAUAAAUCUUUCAACUAAUCAUCAUGCGAUGUCUAGUAUUAUGAGGUAUUAAUCCAAAUUUCUCUGGGCUAUCCCUCUCAAUAGGCAAGUUACAUACGCGUUACGCACCCGUGCGCCGGUCUCUAUAAUCCGAAAACUAUAUACCCCUCGGCUUGCAUGUGUUAAGCCUCCCGCUAGCGUUCAUCCUGAGCCAGGAUCAAA